RNAcentral lists this long non-coding RNA (232 nucleotides) under Prunus persica (peach). RNAcentral describes it as "long non-coding RNA (PPER_LNC000584)". The record is from RNAcentral. Lineage: Eukaryota; Viridiplantae; Streptophyta; Magnoliopsida; Rosales; Rosaceae.
UGUCAUCAUUGGCCUCCUUAUCUUGUUGGACUUGAAAGGCAUGUUGAGAUUUGGUAAGUUUAUUUUGCACUUGUAGGAGCUCUAGCUUUCACCUCCUAUCCUCCAUGAAAUCAUUUCCUUAUUGAAUCAACUCAGCAAUGUAGUUUGAACUCAUGUUUAUGGAUCUUUCAAUUCCUUUCCCUUUCUUUUUUGCAACCUUCUGUUUAUCUCGUCCAAGUGGCCUUGGAGUGGG